RNAcentral lists this long non-coding RNA (2452 nucleotides) under Amphibalanus amphitrite. RNAcentral's name for it is "uncharacterized LOC122389813, transcript variant X2". Lineage: Eukaryota; Metazoa; Arthropoda; Thecostraca; Balanomorpha; Balanidae. The record is from RNAcentral.
GAUUUGACCUUGGACGUGCCCCGUGCAAGUGCACUGGCCUUAGGCGUGCUGAAGAACUUGAUUUGUCAGGACUCCCACGACCACGACCAUGGCUCCAACUGGUGGUGGUGGACGACCCCCUCUUGCUGAAAACACGCCUUCUGUCUCCAGCCUGGCACCGGGCAUUUUGGAGGCAUCCAGAGAAGGGCAUUCGCCAGCGAAAAAUAUCUUCUGGCUAUCUUCUCUUUUACACCUGGAGGGGAAGCCAAAGAACCAAAAACAGCGUUUGGCAGCUGCAGCAAGGGCGAGUGCUCUCCGACGAAGUUUCAUCAGAGGCGGGACUUUCCAAAGAAGGCGACAAAACGGCCUGUAGCGCCGUUGCCUCUGUGCCGGUGCAUGGAGAUGGCCGAGCCUGCCUCUGGGCAGCCGGCAGUGCUGAGACCGCAGAGGGUGCCAACGCCGGCCAACCUAUACCUGGCUGCUCUCCGCUAAUACGAUGUCGCGGAUUUUAUGCCUGGCCGACUCGCCCAGCUACGGCGGCACGCUGUCUCUUUGCGGCCCGCUGCGGCGGCUGCUGCGCGCCGCGGACGAUGCGCGCGCGGCUGCGGCGGCUGGCCGCCCGGUGGCUGCCGUUUGAACCCACGUGGUGCGCCGACUGGACAGGGGCUGGGACCGGCGGCUCACCGCUCUGCACAUGGCCGAACUGUGCACUGCCACCGACCGAGGGCUUGGUAACAUAUUGUUUCUGGAAUGUUCACGGGUUCCAUUCCUGCUCAAAGACUUAAUGAGUGCGCCGAAACUCGUCAGCAUCUUGGGAACUACACCGGAGUGCACCUGCUGCGGCUGCUGCUCGGACCGCCGUGCACUCUGAACGUCCGUAACCUGGUGUGGCACGGCUUUCUGGUGCUGGGGCUCGCUACGCGCCCUCUGCGGGGACGCCGUGCUCUGCCAGCUCUGCGACCUGCUCGUGUGGCCGGCCGGGCCGCGGCGGCGCAACCGGCUGGCGCACGGCGAGGUGGAGCCGGCGCGACUGCCGGCGCCGCUGGCGCACCAGCUGCUCUGGCUCACUGGUCAGCUGCUGGUCACCACCGCUGACUGGGCGGAGCGGCAGCCGGCGCCGGCCGGCGGCACAGCGCAGCACUCUGGGGACGGGGCCGAGCAGCACUAGACUAGCAGCGACUCGUGGAUAACUGGUCCGACCUGGAGCCAGCCGGCCAUCAGAGAGCUGGAGGCAGCUGAUGAUUGUGAAAUGAGUGAGUUGGACAGCUGUGCCACGCUGUCAGACUCCCGUCGACUGCGACGAGUGUGGGACUCGCACGGGUUGUGUCAGUGACCAAAGUGCUCUUUUUAUGUGUGGUGACCGGUCAGACUAUUUGACACAGACUAGCCAGAGUGUGUCACGAACUUCUGACAGUGAAUGCCAGUCAGUGCUUAGAUGUGGGGACGCGUCCAUCGAAUCGAGCGACGCUAAUGCACCGUGUGACAGUGUGCGUUUUCCGGGCGAGUUCGUUGCGCUGUGUGCCGGUCGUGCGCGGGACUGGUACCACCCGUCGUUCCACCAGUUCUCAGCGCUGCGGCGCGCCGUGCGCGAUCUCGGUGCCGCCGCCGAGGAGACUGUGCGCCGCGAGCUGCCGCCCGAGGACCUGCCGGCGCUGACCCGGCUGGAGCCGCUGGCUGACGGCGCGCUGUCGCUGCGUCCGCCGACCCUGCGCCGGCCGCGCCGGGAGGCCGAGCUGCUGACCCAGCUGCAGCAGCUGGUGGCGGCCCUGGACGGCGCCUGCCCCCUGGUAGCGGGUGGCAGCUGCGGGCGCCACGUGACGCCGUCUGCGCUCUCGGCAGCGCGCCACCUGGGGCCGCAUGCAGACCGCGUUGCCAGAGCUGCGUCGUCUGACGGCGGGUCUGCUGCGACUGGUGACGCACCAACUGGACGGUCUGGCCACCGCCGCGAGUCCGGAUUGAGACGGACACGGAGACAGUUCCGAACGGAGCCUCCCUCACCAGGUCUCUGAAUGGAGCUGCGUUCAGGUGGGCGGCUGGCUGCGCUGUCUCGGUCUGGCCCAGUACGCCGACGCGUUCGUCGCCCGCUCUGUGGAUGGCGCCCGGCUUCUGGGGCUCACCGAACAGGCUAUGGAAGACGAGCCCGACGUCGGUCUCGACGUGGCGACCUCGGAGCCAGCGUGUUGGGUAUCGGCUUCCCGCCACUCACCGGCGGACCUUUCCGCUUCGUGGACCGCAUCGGUCCCGCACAGCUAGUCAAGGACAUGGAGCGCUUCGCCGUCGUCAGUGGCGUCGGCUUCGAGCCGUGCCUGACCGUGCACUACCAGGCCGCUAGCGGCACCAAGUUCUGUUCGGCCGGUCCUCGUGUAAUGCCCACAUGUGAUGACCGAGAGUAUACGCAUGUGAAGCCGCUCCGCGCGUGUGCCAGCGCUGGGCGUGUUCAGUUUCAAAGUUAAUAUAUAACCCUGGUGAUCAA